This 317-nucleotide ribosomal RNA is filed under the name Bacteroidota bacterium. RNAcentral describes it as "bacterial SSU rRNA". It matches the Rfam family "Bacterial small subunit ribosomal RNA", at positions 1 to 316 of the family's 1533-position model. Lineage: Bacteria; Pseudomonadati; Bacteroidota. The record is from RNAcentral.
UACUACGAAGAGUUUGAUCCUGGCUCAGGAUGAACGCUAGCGGCAGGCCUAAUACAUGCAAGUCGAACGACAUUUUUGAUUUCGGUUAAAAAUGAGUGGCGAACGGGUGAGUAACACGUAUGCAAUCUACCCCUUACCGGGGCAUAGCUUCGAGAAAUCGAAAUUAAUACCCCAUAAUAUUCAUAGAAGGCAUCUUCAUUGAAUUAAAGUUCCGGCAGUAAGGGAUGAGCAUGCGGCCCAUUAGCUUGUUGGUGAAGGUAACGGCUCACCAAGGCUACGAUGGGUAGCUGGUCUGAGAGGAUGAUCAGCCACACUGG